This 851-nucleotide ribosomal RNA is filed under the name Serratia ureilytica. RNAcentral's name for it is "partial 23S ribosomal RNA". The stretch from base 659 to 851 matches the Rfam family "Bacterial large subunit ribosomal RNA", at positions 1302 to 1500 of the family's 2925-position model. Lineage: Bacteria; Pseudomonadati; Pseudomonadota; Gammaproteobacteria; Enterobacterales; Yersiniaceae. The record is from RNAcentral.
ACGCCGUCAGGCGCGGAGGAAGUGAUGAGCGUGCUGGCCGGCAUACCGGCGCGGAUUUUGGGGCAUCGCGCUGUUUACCGCGGUGAUCAACCUGCUGAUGCUGGCCCCGGCGCUGUACAUGCUGCAGGUCUACGAUCGCGUGUUGCCGUCGGGCAACCGCAUGACGCUGGCGAUGCUGACCCUGAUGGUGGUCGGCCUUUACCUGUUUAUGGGGCUGCUGGAGUGUGGCGCACAGCUUUACCGCGCUGGCGAUUUUCGCGCUGUUGUUCGGCGCGGCCAACGGCGGCUGUAUUGCGCUGUACCCGGCAGUGGCCAGUACAUGGUUCGGCACCGCCAAUCUGGGCGCAUUCUGGGGGCAUUGUAUAUCGCCGGUGGGGAUCGCCGCCGUUGGCGGGGGCAGCGCCGCCGGUUGGCUGUAUGACCUGUAUCAGAGUUACACGUUGUCUAUUGCGUUGGCCGGCAUGGCGGCGCUGCUGUCUGCGUUGGGGAUCGUCUUGGCUUCUCGCUGUACUUCCCGGAUGGGGAUGAGGGAGGAGUCAAAUGCUAUUGCCUAAUGACUUGCGCUCUGCCUUGGCGUUGUUGGGUAGGGGAGCGUUCUGUAAGCCGUUGAAGGUGGCCUGUGAGGGUUGCUGGAGGUAUCAGAAGUGCGAAUGCUGACAUAAGUAACGAUAAAGCGGGUGAAAAGCCCGCUCGCCGGAAGACCAAGGGUUCCUGUCCAACGUUAAUCGGGGCAGGGUGAGUCGACCCCUAAGGCGAGGCUGAAAAGCGUAGUCGAUGGGAAACAGGUUGGUGGUGUAUUGAUUGUAAUCCUUGCUGUCCGGAUUGAGAUCUUUACGGUCACGCUCACGUUG